This 276-nucleotide long non-coding RNA is filed under the name Vitis vinifera (wine grape). RNAcentral's name for it is "long non-coding RNA (VVIN_LNC002241)". The record is from RNAcentral. Lineage: Eukaryota; Viridiplantae; Streptophyta; Magnoliopsida; Vitales; Vitaceae.
AUUUACAAAAAUAAUUCUUUGUACUUAUAACAAAGUUUAUUCAUUACUCGUAUGUAAGCAAGUAUAAGAAUGUUUGUGAGAACAAUUGAAGAAGUCCUUAGUUUAAGGAAAACCAUCAAAGCUUGGAUUGGAGCAUAAAGAUGAUAGAUGUAGCUAAGUUCGAUAUCGAACCAUGUCCAAUGAGUUUGCAUCUUUUUCCCCUUCUCUCUCACUUUAUUAUAUUGAUUAUUAUUUAUUAUUGUUCAUUGUAAUUGAUCUUAAAAUUUAGCUUAAAAG